GCCCGUCUAUCGCAAGAAGCGCGACUGACGAUUGGGCAGAAUCUACAGGGAGUUCCCUCCCCUUCUCCAGUACCGCCUCAAAGCUUCCCGGCGGACCCUGCGCUGAGCGGACAUCUUGAAAUAGAACUAUCACCAAAAGUACCCGCCUCUUAAUAGCUGCUAUUGGUUUAUUAACGAUGUGACGUCAUGAGGCUUUUGGCCUGCCUCCACCAAGCGGGUGGCCUCAAGGAGAACGUGACGAUUGGCCCACGAGAAAGGAAAGCAGGCUUUAGGCUCCAGAGAUUGGCUCAAACAAACUGUCACUCAUCGUCCACUCUGUGGCUUCUCCCAGCUUGUAGGGAAUCCAAGGGGGAAUAAGGGAGCUUGUGCCCAUUUUCCUGCGGGAAAACUGAAGCAGUGAGAGGCUCAAGGAGAGGGAGGUCUUGUCCGGGAUCCCGAAUCAAGUCAGAAAUGGGACUCAGGCAUCGAGGUAUUUAAUCUCUAGCCCUCUACUUAAUUGGUACAAGUUUUUUAAACCCAGUGACCCCACUCAAGCACUUGGCCUUUGCCAAGUCCUACCACGCCGGGAACACCCACCCCCUUCGUCUGGCCAUCAUGAGUCAGUCCCGACACAACUCAGUCGCCACAUCCUCCAGGCAGCUUCCCUCGACCUGUAGAAAAAGUUACUUGUUGAAUGAAGAUGGCAACUACAUGGGACAACUGAGUAAUGGGCCAUGACUAGUCUCAGCUGAGAUAAGCUAUGGCUGUAAAACACCAGAUUCUGAAGACUUCAGUCAGUGCUGCAUUAGGUCAUAGACCACGAAAUGGACAAGAUCACUGGAGAGUUCGUGUGAUUAGAAAGGUGGUUAGAAGACCUGAGUCAAAUCGAAGAGUCGGGUGUCUCUAUGAGGCUGCAAUGAUUCUGCUAAAACCAGCACUGGCAAGAGGCCCCCAGCCUCAGCCUUCCUUCACUUAGGAAUGCCGGCUAGGACCUUCAGGCUAUGCUUUGGGGCCCUUUGGGACAGCGAAAUCAGCAUGAGUAGCACAGAGACGUGGAAAAUGUGGCACUGAAUAGACUGCAGAAAGGAUGUGUGUACACAGUGUGAGAGCUGCAAGAGGGCAGCAGCGCUGCCUCGCCCGACCUGAGCUGGAAGGUGCCCGCUGGGUCAGUCCGAUCGUUUUCUGCUCUGAGCACGAGCACGCCUACCAGCGAGUGCAAAGGCACGCAUUUACAGACAUAAUUCAGUGAAGGGAGUGAUAGCCCUAAGAGGGUGACAACCGCUGGUGGACUGGUAGAUGAGGAGAAACCUGCAAAAAAGGCUCAGAAGGAGCGGUGUGAAGAGAAAAAUGAGAAGCGGAUGGUGUCCUGGAUGCCCCGUGAAGGAAGAGCAUAGCUUUGUUCUGGAGAUAGCUGUUCAGGUGGCAGGAGUUUGUAGGUGCCUCAAAUGAAUAUUUCCAGAAGGAAUGAAUCCCCAAUUUAUAAACUAGAGAGGUCCCUGAACCAAAUCUCCUCUACUUAGUCCUUUAGUUUUUGAGAGAAAGAACACAUAAUAAAAUACUUGAAAAAGUUUUUAAUGUGAAAACAUUUUAAA
Bubalus bubalis (water buffalo) is the source of this 1571-nucleotide long non-coding RNA. RefSeq lists it as uncharacterized. Lineage: Eukaryota; Metazoa; Chordata; Mammalia; Artiodactyla; Bovidae. The record is from RefSeq and is a predicted model, not a curated record. The transcript has 5 exons.